RNAcentral lists this ribosomal RNA (429 nucleotides) under Bacteroidota bacterium. RNAcentral's name for it is "Bacteroidetes bacterium partial 16S ribosomal RNA". It matches the Rfam family "Bacterial small subunit ribosomal RNA", at positions 355 to 776 of the family's 1533-position model. The record is from RNAcentral. Lineage: Bacteria; Pseudomonadati; Bacteroidota.
UAGGGAAUCUUCCGCAAUGGACGCAAGUCUGACGGAGCAACGCCGCGUGAGUGAAGAAGGAUUUCGGUUCGUAAAACUCUGUUGUUAGAGAAGAACAGCGCAUAGAGUAACUGUUAUGCGUGUGACGGUAUCUAACCAGAAAGCCACGGCUAACUACGUGCCAGCAGCCGCGGUAAUACGUAGGUGGCAAGCGUUGUCCGGAUUUAUUGGGCGUAAAGCGAGCGCAGGCGGUCAAUUAAGUCUGAUGUGAAAGCCCCCGGCUCAACCGGGGAGGGUCAGUGGAAACUGGUUGGCUUGAGUGCAGAAGAGGAGAGUGGAAUUCCAUGUGUAGCGGUGAAAUGCGUAGAUAUAUGGAGGAACACCAGUGGCGAAGGCGACUCUCUGGUCUGUAACUGACGCUGAGGUUCGAAAGCGUGGGUAGCAAACAGG